RNAcentral lists this non-coding RNA (90 nucleotides) under Loigolactobacillus bifermentans. RNAcentral describes it as "Lactobacillus bifermentans TPP sequence". It matches the Rfam family "TPP riboswitch aptamer (THI element)". From Rfam's summary of the family: Vitamin B(1) in its active form thiamin pyrophosphate (TPP) is an essential coenzyme that is synthesised by coupling of pyrimidine and thiazole moieties in bacteria. The previously detected thiamin-regulatory element, thi box was extended, resulting in a new, highly conserved RNA secondary structure, the THI element, which is widely distributed in eubacteria and also occurs in some archaea. Analysis of operon structures identified a large number of new candidate thiamin-regulated genes, mostly transporters, in various prokaryotic organisms. The record is from RNAcentral. Lineage: Bacteria; Bacillati; Bacillota; Bacilli; Lactobacillales; Lactobacillaceae. RNAcentral also lists the same sequence under 1 other name.
GUUAUCUGCAAGGGGCGCCUGUGUGGCUGAGAUUGAACCCUGGAACCUGAUCUGGUUAACACCAGCGGAGGAAUGCAGCUGAUAAUUCAG